Molecule: long non-coding RNA, 789 nt
Filed under: Homo sapiens (human)
Lineage: Eukaryota; Metazoa; Chordata; Mammalia; Primates; Hominidae
Description: non-protein coding PANTR1:37
Source: RNAcentral
GAGUUUGGAGGGUGCCGGUCAGCGGAGCCGUGCGAUGUAUUUGAAAAGCAAUCAGUCCGACCUUCCCCCAUAGAUUCAUCACUAGUGGAGAGCUGGGCUUCGAGGCGUCAGUGUGAAGGGAAGGCUAAGGACGCAUCGGUGCUGGAGAGUUGAGAAUAUGCCUUCCCCUCCACCCCCAACCCAGUCACCUUAUUUGAAAAAAAAUUAAAAAACACCUUUUAUUUAAAAACCUAACCCUGGAAGUUUGCUCGCUGCCUGAAAAUCAUAUGCGUGGUUUUUCCUGUUUCCUGCUCUGUAGCUGACAUCAGGGGAGCAACGUGAACACAGGAAAAUGGAAAUCAACAUUUGAAACUUUUAAAUGGAAGCUUUAUUGGGGUUCCACAUAUGGAAAACUGCAAAUAGCAGAAGUAUGUGACUCAAUAAAUUAUUCUGGAGUGACCACAUCCUCUAACUGCCUCCCAGGACAAGACGGAGAAUGUGAACAAUGCUCCUGAAGGCCCCUUUCCCUCAAAGAAUCACUGCAAUUGAAGGAAAAAUGCUCCAUGUCCCCUCUGCCAGUUGGUGUUUAUCAAAGGACAACGGAGGAAGAGAGACAAAGUGCCUGGAUGUGUGUGUUAAUCAAGAGUUGUCAGGACCCUGCCUCUAAAAGAAAGCGCUAAAAUGAUGCUUUUGACAAGACUUUUCUCAAAGUGGAUGCAGUCUAAGGGUUGGAAAACAAGGCCCAAUCAGGCUAGGUCUGACUUGUCGCCUGCUUUUGUAAAUAAAGUUUUAUUGGCUCACAGACACACU